Molecule: long non-coding RNA, 844 nt
Filed under: Olea europaea subsp. europaea
Lineage: Eukaryota; Viridiplantae; Streptophyta; Magnoliopsida; Lamiales; Oleaceae
Source: RNAcentral
CAGCAAUUUAACGGGUCUUCUACUACUCUUCUACUUUUCUACGUUCCUCGUGACCAAGAAAGAAAACCCCGGAUCAUUCUAAUACUCACAGAUCUUCAAAAUUGAAGGUUCGAAGAAUUUCCGGAGCGGUGCAUCGCAAACUCUAUUUAGUAAGGUGUUGGUUUUUUUGGUGUUGGAAUCUUAUUUUUUGGUUAUAUGUUGAAGAAAAAAAAGGGAUUUCGGGUAAGUUUUUUACUCGAUAUGGAUGAAUUUUUAAGAUUUUAACUUCCCUUUUUAUGUUUUUUUGCUUUGACAGUAUACUACUUGGCCUUCCGAUAUUGAUAAAUCUGCUUCCUUGGACGACCUUUCUGGAGUGUUGCGAUUUUUGUUAGGUAAGUUUUUAUUUUGGGGGUGUUUGGAAUUCAUUUAUUUUUGGGGAUUUUGGGUACAUCUGCUUUGCUCGACUUCAUCAAAGGUUCAAUUCCAAAAUUUUUUUUUUUUAAUGUUGUUUAGCUGGAAUUUGAUCAACUGGAAAGAGUUCCUUGUGUCAGUAUUUCUAUCUGGUUUUUACUUUAAGAACGAGGAAAAUUUUCUGCUGAGUGUUGCCACAAUAAUAUGUUGUAAUAAAUUAGGCAGAACCUCUGAAGUGUAGUUAAUGAAAGUAUGAAGUGCAAAUUCAACACCAUUUCAUUUAAUCAGAUUUUGGGUGCAUAAAUUAAUCUGUAUGCGUGUUGAUUUUGCUCAUGUUUGUGUUAAUCCUUCGAUUAUUUGAUCUAUUAGGCAUUGUGCUACUGAAUGCUUAAAGGACGAAAUGUUCAACGUGUAUGAAACGAGGAGGAAUUUAAGAUUGAUAUAUAGGCAACUA